GAGAUGCUAGUGACUAUACCAUGUUAGAGACAUGAGGAUUGGAUACUUGAGACUUGGUCUACGCUUGCUUGCCAUUUGUGCUCAUUCGCACAUGCUUGUGAGGGUCGCUCCCUACAAGCCGGCACUCCGGAGUUAGCCUACGCGACUUAUGUUCGCUCGUGCGGUAUUGAGAAGCCUACGGGGUCGAGUGGGACAGACACAUUCCAAGAGUAGGGAUGUUGGGCUACCACAGGCACUUAGGCGGCACAAGCUGGACUACCUUUGGUAGGUCCUUAAUUGGAAAUGGAAAUCGACACGGUGUUGAGAAUGAAUAAUCGCUACUAGAUAGGCUUAGUAGUUGGAUUAGGUGACAUGCUCAUGACAUAGCAAUGGGGUAUAUAGUACACUUGCCGGUUUCAUGCAUUGCAUCAUAGUAUACUGGGUUAUCUUGAUAGAGCGUACUCCUUAUAUUUUGGCAUAUGGUAUUGUGAGGUUUACUUGUUCAUUAUGUUGAGGCAUAUUAGUAUGCAUUGGAUAUAUUACCUUAUGAUAGCGUAGAUGUACAUCACCAUGACAUCAUGCUUAUUGGAGACAUAGUAGUAUAGCAUUUCAUUCAUGCUUUCUUUCAGCAGUUUUCGUGUUCGCUAUUUAUUGCAUAUUACUAUAUGUCGUUACUUACCCUUUUCUUUUGGGGCCUAGUGGUGCAUUGAGCUGAGGUCAGUAAUUGCCCACUGGGAACUAUAAAUUAUAGUUCUCACGCCCUCUUUUUCUCGAUGUUUUUCAGAGCCUUCCACGCAGGGUGAGGCCAGGGAUCGCGGGAAGGGAGUUGCUUCGAGCUAGCUUCCUUCGAGGACGAGUUGCUAGGUGGUCUACCUCUCGAUAUUUACUUUUUGGCGAGAGGUUGAGGGUUUUACCAGUGUACUAGAGACCACCAUUUUUGUACUAGAGACAGAUAUUGUACUACUUAUGGUUUCUUUUAUUGUCUAGCUUUAUUUCUUUACUUUGGUGUAGAUGAUAGAACUUUACUCGCUCUGAUAUCAUUAGUUGCUAGUUAUUUCACUUCUUUUAUUUGUUCUAUCUCUUGCUUUACUUCCGCUUUUGUUGUAGACGCCUUAUAUGUGUAGACAUAUGGCGGGUCUGGGCACGCUACCGGGAGGGCCUCCGCCGGUCCCGGGGCGUGACAGAUUAAUUUGGUAUCAGAGCCUAGGGUUGAGUCUUAGUGGACCUAGCGAACCUUAGGCCGGUUGGACUAUAGGAAUUAGGCUCGUGAGAGACGAGGUCUAAUUGACUUGUGAGCGAAAGUAUUAUGAUUGGGUUUAUGACAACUCUAAAAAGUUAGAGUUUGAUCGGAGUGUAUGGCUUCUAACUUCGCGGAGGGUUACGUUGGCGGCCGACAACGUAACAUCGGGAGUUAGUAGUGAAGGACACUUCCUUACUUUCGCAUGAUUUGGGGUUUUAUCUAUUUGAGCGGGGAUGCGAUAGCGUGGGUUACUAACUUGCGCUUUUAUGUUUUGUAGUGACGAUGCCGAUUACACGCUCCCAGUCUGCCGGGGCGGAUGAUGCGGCACACCCCGAGGAGGUCGAGACCUCCGCUACUUCCGGAUCUAGUGAGGUCCGUGACUUGAGGGCCCAGCUUGCGGUUCUCACUGAUCUGUUGGCGCAGCAGACGGCAGCGGCGCAGCGACAGGCUGAGGUGGCUCAGCGGCAGGAGGCGCGGAUGAAGCAUCUUGAGGACCUCCUACUUCAGCAGGCAGCAGUUUCGAGGGAGACCCAGGUUCCCACACCGCCAGCACCCGUGGUGGACGUCGCACCGAGAGCGCAAUCCCCCGCGCCCAAUUCUUCCCGUGCGGCACCGGCGACCACACCUCGGGAGGAGGUGGAUGCGGUACCCCCAGUUCAGAGACCAGCUACAGGGGCGGCAUUCCCCGUGAUGGCAGAGGGAGCCGAGCGGGAUCGGCUCAUGGAGCGCCUCAGUGAGUUCAGGAGGUGCAGCCCGAGGAUGUUUGACGGCGAGAACGUCGACCACUGGAUUGUUGAGAAGUGGUUGAUGCACAUGGAGAAGCUUUUUCGAGACACCUUUGUGGAGGAGCGGGACAGAGUUUGGCUCGCCACUCAUUUUCUUGACGGCGAGGCCUACCGUUGGUGGUUGGAUAUUCAGGACAACCCCAACACCGACUUGACAGCGAUCACUUGGACGAGGUUCAAGGAGCUUCUUCUGGCGCACUACUUCCCGACCAGCGCCAAGAGGAAGAUAGAGCAGGAUUUGCGCAGCUUGCGCCAGGACAAGCAGUCAGUGGCCGAGUACGAGAGGGAGUUCUCCCGGCUGCUUCACUGUGUACCGUUUGUUGUGAGGGAUGACGAGGACAAGGCCCGCAUUUUUUAGCGCGGAUUGCGCCCUUCUAUCUUUCGAUUGGUGCAGUCUUCCAACCUCCAGACCUAUCGGGAGGUUGUGGAUUGAGCGUUGAUUGUUGAGGCUGGAGCGGCGGAUUUGCAGGAGUGACGCGAGGCCCUAGAUAAGGGCAAGGGCAAGAGGCCCGCGGCUGAGGGUGCGAGUCAGACGCACUCACGGAGGCCGCCGAGGCACCCCAGGAGCCGGAGCCAGUCGUGAGGACGGGGCCAGUCUACUCAGCGAGGAGGACCCGAUCAUCGCCAGGCUCCCCGCUGCGUGAUCUGUGGUGGACCCCACUACCCACGACAGUGUUCACGCAGCCGGGGCAGGUGUUUCUUGUGUAGCCAGGAGGGCCACUUUCAGUCGGACUGCCCGAGAGGUUCAGCGCCAGCGCCAUCUUCGGCAUCUGCACCGGCAUCGCCGGGUCCCAGUCAGGGGACAUUUUCUGCGCAUCACCAGGCAGGACGGCCGCCAGUUCAGCGGCAGGCGGAGGGGUCACGACAAGCCCCGAGCGGGCGCAUGUACGCGGCCCAGACUGAGGAGGCGACAGCAGCCGAGAAUGUGGUUGCAGGUAUCAUUUUACUUUAUGAUAUUCGAGUUAGAGCUUUGUUUGAUACCGGUGCAUCGCAUUCAUUCAUAGACCGGCUGUUUGCCGAGUUGCAUGGCAUCCCACUUGUAUCCUUGUUGCAUCCUGGACAAGUUGUUGUACCCGACCAUUCUUUGGACAUCCAAGAGUUUUGCCCCAGUUGCCCUGUUCGGGUUGGAAAUUGGAUCAUGCCCGUAGACUUGCUAGCUUUGCAUAAACUCGGGGAGUUUGAUGUUGUGCUGGGCAUGGAUUGAUUGACCAAGUACUACGCCACCAUUGAUUGUAAGAAUCGAACGGUGACGUUUAGAGAGCCGGGGCAGGCGGAGGUUGUGUACCGAGGAUGCCAGAGUUCGCUUUUUGCGAUGACGAUUAGCUCUUCUCGAGCUCGGCAGUUGAUUAGUAGAGGCUGCGUAGCCUACUUGGCUACUGUUGUGUUACGGGGUGGUGAUGACGCCCCUAGGAUUGAGAAUAUCCCCGUAGUGCGGGAGUUUGGAGAUGUGUUUCUAGCGGAGCUUCCAGGCAUGCCACCUGAUAGGGAGAUUGAGUUUGUGGUAGAUCUCGUUCCCGGGACUACUCCGAUCUCAAAGGCACCCUAUAGGAUGGCACCAGCAGAAUUGAAGGAGCUGAAGGCACAGUUGCAAGAUCUUCUGGACAAGGGUUUCGUGCGAUCGAGUGUGUCACCUUGGGGAGCACCGGUCCUAUUUGUGAAGAAGAAUGAUGGAUCACUUCGUUGUGCGUGGACUAUCGUGAACUUAACAAAGUCACGAUUAAGAACAAGUAUCUAUUGCCGAGGAUCGACGAUCUAUUUGAUCAGCUUCAGGGAUCUAGUGUGUAUUCCAAGAUUAACCUGCGGUCGGGAUAUCAUCAGUUGAGGAUCAGACCUGAAGAUGUAUCGAAGACGGCUUUCAGAACACGGUAUGGACAUUAUGAGUUUACAGUUAUGCCGUUUGGGCUUACCAAUGCCCCGACUGCUUUUAUGGAUCUAAUGAACCGUGUUUUCAAGCCUUAUUUAGAUAGGUUUGUCGUGGUGUUCAUCGACGACAUCUUAGUGUAUUCCCGGAGUGAUGCGGAUCACGAGGAACACUUGAGACUUGUACUUCAGGUGCUUCGGGAAAAGAAGCUCUAUGCCAAGUUGAAAAAGUGUGAGUUUUGGCUUAGAGAGGUGGCUUUUUUAGGCCAUCUGAUUUCAGGAUCAGGAAUAGCUGUGGAUCCAAGGAAAAUUGAAGCCAUCAAGAAUUGGCCAAGGCCGACGAGCGUGACCGAGAUACGGAGCUUCAUUGGUUUGGCCGGCUAUUACCGAUGGUUCGUUGAGGGAUUUGCAAAGUUAUCUACUUCCCUCACGAGGCUCACGCAUAAAAGAACUAAGUUCAUUUGGAAUGAUGCAUGUGAAAGGAGCUUCCAAGAGUUGAAGCAGCGAUUGACAACCGCCCCGAUCCUUACCUUGCCGACUGCUAGAGCAGGGUAUGUGAUUUAUAGCGAUGCUUCCUUUAUUGGAUUGGGAUGUGUUUUAAUGCAGGAUGGGAAGGUGAUCGCGUAUGCUUCUCGCCAACUAAAGAAUUAUGAGAGAAACUAUCCUACCCAUGACUUGGAGUUGGCGGCCGUAGUCUUUGCUCUGAAGCUAUGGCGCCACUACUUGUACGGCGAGCGAUGUGAAGUGUAUACGGAUCACAAGAGCUUAAAGUAUCUAUGCACUCAGAAGGAGUUGAACUUGAGGCAGCGCAGAUGGUUGGAGCUACUCAAGGAUUAUGAUUUGACGAUACUUUACCACCCGGGCAAGGCUAACGUGGUGGCGGAUGCGCUAAGUAGGAAAUCGACGGAAAACUUAGCGAUGCUUAUGGUUACUCAACCACCGUUGAUCGAGCAGAUGAAGCGGUUGGAGUUGGAGGUGGUGGCUCCUGAUACACCCUUGAGACUGACGGCUUUGGUGGUGCAACCUACACUUAUGGAAAGGAUUAAAGAAAAGCAAGCUUCCGACUCGGAGUUGCAAAAGAUUUGAGCUAAGAUGGUUGAUGGUUGCACUGGUGACUUCACUCUAGAUGGUGAUGGAUUGAUGCGUUUCCGCGGACGACUAUGUGUACCGGCGGACUUGGGCAUUAAAGAGGAUAUUCUUCAAGAAGCACACCGAGCACCGUAUGCUAUACAUCCGGGAGGCACCAAGAUGUACAAGGAUUUGAAAUUACUUUAUUGGUGGCCCGGGAUAAAAAAGGAUGUUGGUGAGUUUGUUGCUAGAUGUUUAACUUGCCAACAGGUGAAGGCUGAGCACCGAGUUCCUGCGGGGAAGUUGCAGAGCCUGCCGAUUCCAGUGUGGAAAUGGGAAAAGAUCACCAUGGAUUUCGUGAUGGGAUUGCCUCGCUCACAGGCCGGGCAUGAUGCUAUUUGUGUGAUCGUGGAUAGAUUGACGAAAUCGGCACAUUUUAUACCUAUCCACACUACUUGGACUGGUGAGAGACUCGCAUAGGUUUAUUUGGAUGAGGCUGUGCGAUUGCACGGGGUACCUACUUCUAUAGUAUCAGAUCAAGAUCCCCGUUUUGUAUCCCACUUUUGGAGGAGCUUACAGGACGCUUUGGGUACGCGCUUGGAUUUCAGCACUGCUUUUCACCCCCAGAGUGACGGGCAGUCGGAGCGUACUAUACAGACUCUCGAGGACAUGCUUCGAGCCUGCGUGAUUGACUUUCAGGGAGGAUGGUCGCAGCAUCUACCGAUGGCAAAGUUUGCUUAUAACAAUAGUUAUCAAGCAAGCAUCAAGAUGGNUGGUCGCAGCAUCUACCGAUGGCAAAGUUUGCUUAUAACAAUAGUUAUCAAGCAAGCAUCAAGAUGGCACCGUUCGAGGCACUCUAUGGACGGAAGUGUAGAUCGCCACUUCAUUGGAGUGAAGUUGGCGAGAGAUUGGCCUUAGGCCCAGAUGUACUCUAGGAAGUAGAAAAUAAGGUUCGCAUUGCUCAGGAGCGACUGUUGACAGCCAGAGUAGGCAGAGGAGUUAUGCUGAUCGGCGUCAACGAGACUUGGAGUUUCAGAUUGGAGAUCAUGUCUUCUUGAAAGUCUCGCCGACCCGAGGGAUUAGAAGGUUUGGAAUCCGGGGUAAGUUGAGCCCCCGAUACAUUGGACCGUAUGAGAUUUUGGAGCGUGUAGGCCCGGUAGCGUAUCGACUUGCUCUACUGCCAAACCUAUCGGGUGUGCACAAUGUAUUCUAUGUAUCGGUCCUUCGGAAGUACAUCCACGACCCGGUUCACGUGUUGGUUGCUACACCAGUGGAGCUAAGGGAUGAUCUGAGCUUUGAAGAGCAACGUUUGAGGAUUUUGGCCCGCGAGGUAAAGAGCUGCGGAACCGUGAGAUUCCCUACGUGAAGGUGCUUUGGAGCAACCACGACGAGCGCGAGGCCACUUGGGAGUUGUAGAGCGUGCUGCGGGAGCGCUAUCCCCAUCUCUUUCAGAUGGAGGCUUGAGGUACUUUGUCUUUUUCGAGUUUUGCGGACGAAACUCCUUUUUAGGAGGGGUGAAUGUAACACACUGGACCUUUGCAAAUUGCGAGGUUCGAGUGUUUGGACAGUGUCCUGAGCUUUUCCAGAUUUUCUGGUAGGUCGUUGACUGUGUUACGACCCGUGGCUCGCAUCCCGAGAAGUGAGGUUUAAAGCCUAGCACAAAAAUCCGAAAAAUCGAAUUUUUGGUCAGCUCUCGGGUAGCCUUCAUCAGGCUGUGUACCGGUACAAGGUUGAUGGCUGUACCGGUACAGGGUUGAUGGCUGUACCGAUACGGGAUGGUGUACCGGUACACAGGCAGUUUUCCAGCAAACCCGAUGCUCGGGUUUGGCAUUUUCGCAGGAUGUGUACCGGUACGCGGGCCCGUGUACCGGUACGCAGUGACAGAAUCUGAAUGUUUGAUUCUGCAGGGGUGUUUUUGCAUUGUUGCCUUCUUAUAUCAGCACCCACGCCCCUUGGAGCUCUCCCUGAGCUGAGAACACAAGAGAAGAAGGUAGGGACUUUCUGUCUUCACCCUCCUUGGAUUUUAUCUCCCUUUUUGCUUGGUUUAGGUGGUUUUUGCUCUCUUUUGCUUCCUAGAGCAUUUUCCACCCUUGUUGGAGGCUUGGAUCUUGGGGAGGAGCUCAUUGGGGAGGAGAUCUUCAACCUUGGUUGAUUUGGAGCCUAGUUGGGAGCUUCUUGAAAGGUUAGAAACAUGUUUUCUCCUUUUGAUCCUUGUUUUGUUAGAAUUUUUGAGAUGGAACCCUAGAAUGAGAUUUAGGGUUUGAUUUGGGCGUUUCGAAUCUAGGGCUUUUGGAGCUAGAUUCUUUGGUUUAGAACCUUCCUUGGGCUUGGAUUGGAAGGAUUCUAGCUCUCCUCUGGAGCCUAGGAGAGGAUUUUUACUCUUGAGGUGAGUUUUGGCCCUUUUUGCUUCUAGGGUAAUGAUUGAUCUUAUAGUUGAUCGUAAUGCCCGUGUAUCUCUUCGCUCAAUACUUUUAGGGUAUUUUGAGACUCGGGGACAACUUCGUUCGGCGAAACGAGGCACUACGCGACGGUUCGGUGGGUUUGACCUAGCCACACAAUGAGAAAACCUCAUUGUUGAUGAUUUAAGCGUUGUAAAAUGAAAAAGCAUGCAUAUUCUUGUUAUAUGUAUUUAUUGUGAAUUUUAGAAUGCUUAAAACGCCUAUGUUACAUAUAGUGCAAUUUUGGACCCCUAUAUAGUAGAGAGUUGCAUAUGAAGCUUAUGUUUGAUUGCUUAGCAUUCUUAUGUUGGGCCAUAUUCCUUUUAAUGAAAAUGAGUUUGAUUCAUGCAUUUUAAACCUAAGUUUAAUUGAGACAUGAAAGGUAAUAAAAUUGCCAUGUAGGGGCACCGGACUAGAACAUUAUGUGAAUUAGAGAGCUAAUGUCAUCAAGCGGCAUUGAGCUCGGACAUGUGUGAACCUUGUGGAUAGGGCCAUUGAGGAAUGUGGAACAUGCUUAAAUAUUGAACAUUGGAACUUCACUUUGUGACAUAGAACUAGAUCUUCGAGAUGCUAGUGACUAUACCAUGUUAGAGACAUGAGGAUUGGAUACUUGAGACUUGGUCUACGCUUGCUUGCCAUUUGUGCUCAUUCGCACAUGCUUGUGAGGGUCGCUCCCUACAAGCCGGCACUCCGGAGUUAGCCUACGCAACUUAUGUUCGCUCGUGCGGUAUUGAGAAGCCUACGGGGUCGAGUGGGACAGACACAUUCCAAGAGUAGGGAUGUUGGGCUACCACAGGCACUUAGGCGGCACAAGCUGGACUACCUUUGGUAGGUCCUUAAUUGGAAAUGGAAAUCGACACAGUGUUGAGAAUGAAUAAUCACUACUAGAUAGGCUUAGUAGUUGGAUUACUUGACAUGCUUACGACAUAGCAUUGAGACAUAUAGUGUACUUGCCUGUUUCAUUCAUUGCAUCAUAGUAUACUGGGUUGCUUUGAUAGAGCUUACUCCUUUUGCAUUGACAUAUUAUCUUAUGAUAGCGUAGAUGUACAUCACCAUGACAUCAUGCUUACUUGAGACAUAGUAGUAUAGCAUUUCAUUUAUGCUUUCUUUCAGCAGUUCUUACACUCGCUCUUUAUCAUUUAUUAUUAUUGUCGUUACUUACCCCUUUCUUUUGGGUCCUAGUGGUGCAUUGAGCUGAGGUCAGUAAUUGCCUACUGGGAACUAUAAAUUAUAGUUCUCACACCCCCUGUUUCUUGAUGUUUUUCAGAGCCUUCCACGCGGGAGAGGCUAGGGACCGCGGGAAAGGAGUUGCUUCGAGCUAGCUUCCUUCGAGGAUGAUUUGAUAGGUGGUCUACCGCUCGUUAUUUUAUUUUGUGAGAGGUUGAGAGUUGUACCCGUAUAUGUAUAGAGACCACCCUUCUUUUGGAUUUAUGUAUUUCUUUUGAGGAGUUUGCAUUGUAUCACCUGGUGUUUUACUUCUUUGGAUUAGUAUGUUUCCUUUAUUCUUGUUUUAGAUGAUAGAACUUUACUUGCUCUGAUAUCUCUAGUUAUAGAUUAUUUCUCGCUUUUAUUUUCGCUGUUGUUGUAGACGCCUUGUAUGUGCAGACAUAUGGCGGGUCUGGGCACGCUACCGGGAGGGCCUCCGCCGGUCCCGGGGCGUGACAAGCAGGGAUAAAGGACGUGUUUUGGGCUGUGUUCUACAAUCUAACUCAAUAGGAAGCUGAGUAGAAGCUUUGGA
This 9108-nucleotide long non-coding RNA is filed under the name Ananas comosus (pineapple). RNAcentral's name for it is "long non-coding RNA (ACOM_LNC030397)". Lineage: Eukaryota; Viridiplantae; Streptophyta; Magnoliopsida; Poales; Bromeliaceae. The record is from RNAcentral.